UUUCUAAAUGUAAUCCAUUACAGUUACUAGUUACCUCUCCAAAAUUGUCAUCAGUAACACAACUUUUGGAUUAACCAAACUCAGUAACAUAAACUGAUUCCUUUCAGUUACUUUUUAGAUUAUUUCCACUUAAGAGGCAUUAGAAGAAAACAAAAAUGUAUGUUACUAAUUGAACAUCUAUUGCAAGAUAAACCAAUGUUAAAGUUUACAUAGCUGGCCAAAUAUGGAUGUUCUACUACAUAUAAUAACAUGAUUACAUUAUAUCUUUACAUUAAUAUAUAUCAUUUAUAAAUCCAAAAAUGGAUGUAACAACUACAGAUUGCCCCUUUAAGACUAUCAAAAGCCCCACUUUUAUUCCAUACUAUGCAGAUGUUGGGACAAUUUUUUUAGAGAACCAGUUACAGUAAAAUAAUAAUUUUAUUCCAUAUAAAACAAAUACUGUAUGAAGUGAAAAGUUGUGUUUUUCAGCAAAGCCCAGAACAUUAAAGCCUGUUUGUGAAAAGCCACCAAUUUCACAGGAAGUUUAAUCACAAUAUAUGGACAUUGUAGUAAGAAAUUAAGCCCUCCAAACUUAUGAAUAACCAUAUGAGGUAUAAUAUUCCAGAAACUAUGAGGAUUUCUCAAGUACCUUUUAACACCGUUUAUCUUACAUGGCUUGUUUUUCCAUAUGAAGUUGUACAAUGGCCUAUCUAAGGUACAGCAAGUGGAUUUGGAAUGUCAAUAGAUUAAAAAAGAUAGGAUGCACAAGAUAGCCCCUCAGCUUUGGAUAAAAGCACCCUCCCUUGAAGACAUGUAUCCCUCCCUAACCAUGAGGAUACUUCUUUUGAUAGAUUCAGUUACAGGAUUCAAAUUAAGAUCAUUCACAGCCUUAAGAUUUUUGGUGAUCUUUACACCGAGAUAGGUUGCAGUAUCUUUUUCAGAGAUGUUACCAUCUGCUGGAUUGACAGCUCCUUUCAGAACAAACAUCUCACAUUUGGAAGGAUUUAAUACUAAACCUGAGAUUUUGGAGAACUGCUUCACAAUAUCCAAUGCUAAUCUAGCUUGUGACACAUUUGUCAAGGUGUCACCCGCCAGUUGGGAUAUCUUGCUCUCUCUGGCCUGGAAUGUAAUGCCUUCAAAUUUCAGCAGUUCCCAAUAUUUCCCAUAUUCUGCAUUAGAGGUUUACAUGCAUUAGAGGUUUAGACCCCAGUCUACAGAAACUUUUUUCUAUUUUGUCAUUUAAUUGUAUUUAUUUAUAAUAUAUAUAUAUAUAUAUAUAUUUUUACACCUUUUUACCCCCAUUGUUGUGGUAUCCAAUUGGUAGUUACAGUCUUGUCUCAUCGCUACAACUCCCAGUUGAGAGCCGUACGAAACACAACCCAACCAAGCCACACUGCUUCUUGACACAAUGUCCACUUAACCCGCAAGCCAGCAGCACCAAUGUGUCGGAGGAAACACCGUACACCUGGCGAACGUGUCAGCGUGCACUGCGCCCGGCCAGCCACAGAUGUCGCUAGUGUGGGAAGGGACAAGGACAUCCCUGCCGGCAAACCCUCCCUAACCCGGACGACCCUGGCCCAAUUGUGCACCGCUCCACGUGUCUCCCGGUCACGGCUGGCUGCAACAGAGCCUGGACUCAAACUCAGAAUCUCUAGUGGCACAGUGAUGCAGUGCCUCCCGUCUGUCCUGACCUGCCGGAGCCGCCCGUCUGUCCUGAGCUGCCGGAGCCGCCUGUCUGUCCUGAGCUGCCGGAGCCGCCCGUCUGUCCUGAGCUGCCGGAGCCCCCCAUCUGUCCUGAGCUGCCGGAGCCGCCCGUCUUUCCUGAGCUGCCGGAGCCGCCCGUCUGUCCUGAGCUGCCGGAGCCGCCCGUCUGUCCUGAGCUGCCGGAGCCGCCCGUCUGUCCUAAGCUGCCGGAGCCGCAUUCUGUGCAUGAAAACGAGUUGUCUCUCCUUGAAUGACAACAAUAACUUUAUUGAAGAACCCUACUGUUGACCAAUCAUUGACGAAGGGGCGUAUAAUGCGGCUUGGAACUUCAACUUGCCUCCAGAACAUUUUUUGUGUGCCCGAACAGCCGAAAAAUUCCUAACCGAAGUCCAAAAACGUCACAAAAUGUCAUCAUAAUAUAUUUACAAACUCUUCUGAGCUGUUCGUCUGGGAAGCAUGCGGACGCCUUUAGAUGACAAUGAAGCGUUUUAGGAUGCAAACAAAUAUAUUUGCAGUUUGGAUUAGGAGUGUUUUUAGCUCCUUGGAGGCCAUCUUGUUGUGAGAUUUCUUGUCACUGUGUAUCUAGCCCUAUUGGAAAGCCCGGCCCUCGAUUCUCCAGUGGCUUGUGUACUGUAGCAUGGUUCUCACUUAGUAGUAAAAUGUUUGUGUGUGUAUUGCAGAGUAGCAUUUUACAGUGGGGACAGUCACCCAGAGGAGGCAGCAGACCCAGAUCAGGGAGUUGGAGGUGAUGAGCGGUCAGACAGGCUAACAGACUGGAGGAAGUUGGCCUAUCUGCUCUGUCUCAGGCAGUUCCCUAGCGAAGACGCCCUGCUGCGGCACCAACAGCUUCAGACCUGCAGGAUGGCAAGCAGCAGGAUGACACUUUAAUCUCUAUGAGUCUGGGUGGAAAUAUUUUGGGUUAUUUUUAGCCCUGCCAUCUGCUCAGGGUGUGCAAUUGUCCUUUAGCAUAAACAAGGUGAGAACAUACAUUCUGUUGCACUUUCAUGCCAAGACUGGUCGUGCCUUUUAAAUGUGUGAAUUGCAUAGUUCCCGGGGGGAAUUAACCUUUUUAUUCUGUUAAUCGUUUUAGCAAAACUUGGAAAUUCACAGACGAUCCAAACUAUAGGAAGCCGAGCUGGAGGAGUUGGAGAGAAAAUAUAUAGAGAGACAGAGCAGCUGAAAGAAGGGAUAAGAAUGGUGUUCCUGAACCACCAGCGCCCAAGAAGAAGAAAUUCUAUUAGCCUCCUAUUCCUCCCUAUCUCAAAAGCAGGGGUCUCAUAUUCCCCUAACAUAUGUUAUUGUCCAACUAUAGCCUUGAUCAAUUCAAGUUAACAGAACUAACAAAUGAAUUACAUUUGAUUAAUAUAAUUUGAUUAAUUCCCAUCUCUUCUCAACCACCUGACACACAGGAACUAUGAGCAGCCCACCAAAGACGGUCUGACUAAUGACAACAUUGGGAACAAGAUGCUGCAGGCAAUGAGCUGGCAAGAAGGCAUCAUUACGGACCAAGGGCACACGCCUGGGCAUCAAGGGAAGCAACUACGAACUCUACGCAUCGGACACCUACAAGGACACCGUGCUCAAGGCCAUCUUUGCACGCUUCAUAGAGCUUGCAUGAACAGGGACUACAGCCGCCCCCUCCUUCCUCACCCCUACACCCUUGUUAUCCCAUUAUCCCCACCACUGUGAAAAUUAUAAGAACAAGAGGAGCAUGUACAUUUGUUAUUUAAGUGUUUUGUUUGGUUUACUUGAUUUGUUCUUCCUUUCUGUGGCCAUGUACAACAGCUACAAAUAAUUAAGAUAUCAGGCAUUCUAUUAACCACAGGCCAAGCUAGUUCUUGUCCAUUUCGUGUAUUUUUUUCCUUCCAUAUAUACUGAACAAAAAUAUAAAUGCAACACGUAUUGUUGGUCCCAUAUUUCAUGAGCUGAAAUAAAUGAUCCCAGAAAUGUUCCACAUGCAUUUCUCUAAAAUGUGGUGCACAAAUUUGUUUACAUCCCUGUUAGUGAGCAUUUCUCCUUUGCCAGGAUAAUCCAUCCACCUGACAAGUGUGGCAUGUCAGGAAGCUGAAUAAACAGCAUGAUCAUUACACAGGUGCACCAUUGUGAGGCCCAUUUUUUAAAGGUCUCUGUAACCAACAGAUGCAUAUCUGUAUUUCCAGUCAUGUGAAAUCCAUAGAUUAGGGAUAUGAACUGUAACUCAGUAAAAUCUUUGGAAUUGUUGCAUGCUGUGCUUAUAUUUUUGUUCAUAUAAAAUGCUGUCAUUAGCAUUCUGUACCGUUUGUAUAGUUAAUACAUUUGUACAGAGUCCAGAUGUGGCUGUUCUGAGCU
Oncorhynchus masou masou (cherry salmon) is the source of this 4011-nucleotide long non-coding RNA. RefSeq lists it as uncharacterized. The record is from RefSeq and is a predicted model, not a curated record. NCBI's taxonomy places the organism in Eukaryota, Metazoa, Chordata, Actinopteri, Salmoniformes, Salmonidae. The transcript is spliced from 3 exons.